This is a long non-coding RNA of Panthera uncia (snow leopard), 341 nucleotides long. RefSeq lists it as uncharacterized. The transcript is spliced from 2 exons. NCBI's taxonomy places the organism in Eukaryota, Metazoa, Chordata, Mammalia, Carnivora, Felidae. The record is from RefSeq and is a predicted model, not a curated record.
AUACCUACUUGGGCGCUGACGUUUCUGCAGAGCUUCUUGUAGAUUUGAUCAAUGGAGACGGAGACGUGCUCAAAACACUGGCUGAAGAGCCAGAACUUUCUUCCGUUCUUCUUCAAGCUGAGCUUGGACCUUCUCCGUGUUGGCAUUCUGAGUGACAAAUACGUCCUUAAGUUGCUGCCGCUUCGCCAUGAGUUCAUCCACAAUUUGCAGACAAGUUUCUUCAGCCUGAACGAAGAUGAUUUGCAUUGUAGACUUAAUUAUCUUUUACGUUAAUAAGGUCAACAGAUCAGCUCAUCGUCAAUAAAGCAAAGCAGUGAUUGUGUGUGCUGCUUGAACUUCUA